CAUUUUAUAGUUUAAACGAAAACACAAGUCUCAUGAACUUGAAUUGUGACAAAUACUCACUAAACUAG
RNAcentral lists this transfer RNA (68 nucleotides) under Docosaccus maculatus. RNAcentral's name for it is "tRNA-Met". It matches the Rfam family "tRNA". From Rfam's summary of the family: Transfer RNA (tRNA) molecules are approximately 80 nucleotides in length. Their secondary structure includes four short double-helical elements and three loops (D, anti-codon, and T loops). Lineage: Eukaryota; Metazoa; Porifera; Hexactinellida; Lyssacinosida; Euplectellidae. The record is from RNAcentral.